GAGAGAAGUUCUCCCAUGAAGAGGAGCAAAUAAUUCUUUAUCUCCACUUGGUACUUGUUCACUUCUUUCAACUUUGGACGACCCAUUCCCAAUCAAGGUCAAUAUCUUUGGCAGAUGCGUUGAAUGUGAACUAAUGUUCUUUGUCAAACGAUUGUGCUGUUCCUAAAACAAAGCCCUUGGUAGGCAUCGUGGUUACAUCUUCUCCAGCCUUUUGCACAACUUCGCCUUUCUUAACCCUAUAUGUAGAAGGAGCGUCUAACAACAGUGAAAAUUCAGGAAAUGAGUGAGAAGGUAGGAUUUCUUAGGCGGCUAAAAACGGUGAGCCAUACUCUUUUCCUACCAGUUUCCGUUACUGCUUAAUAAUUAAUACGUAUAUCAUUGACCCAAAUGGUCAAAUAUUUGGUCAUUGUUUAAACAAACGCUAGAGGAGGAUUGUGCAUAAAUAGAUCGAUCCUUGAUGAAUGGUUACACACACAGUUCAUUUGUUAGUCAUUCACUUUCAAUAAUGGCCUCGUUCUUAAAAGAUGGAAGACUUGCCUUGGCUCUUAUCAUCUUCAUCGUCAUUACUUCGUCAUCUCACAUCAUGACAAUCGCCAUUGCAGCUCGAACACCAUACCACCAUAUCCGCCAACUAGCUACGGAUUGCAAUUCCCCGAUACAACAAGAUAUACCCGGGUGUGGUAGUGGAGGUGGAAGUGGUGUUCCAGUACCGCCGAAACGACAACCAUGUGGUUCGACACCAAGUUCGAGACUUUGUAAGAAGGGAUGCUGUGGACUGAAUAAAAUGGGAGAUACCAUAUGUUGCUAAGCAGUAUUGGAGGUUGUUCCACAUCAAAUAAUUAAAGAUCCGAAAAUAAGAUUUAAAACCAUUUCCUUUUUUUUCUACUUGUUUUGAUUGAAAAUGAUCUAUAUGUAUGAGUAUGGGCGCAUAAAUUUUAGUCUCAUACAAUAAUGGUUCUUGUAAUUGGUAAAAUGUGGUAUUUCCGGUCCA
Molecule: long non-coding RNA, 991 nt
Organism: Lactuca sativa (garden lettuce)
Lineage: Eukaryota; Viridiplantae; Streptophyta; Magnoliopsida; Asterales; Asteraceae
Source: RefSeq, a predicted model, not a curated record